AAACAAAAACAAAUUAAAAAAGAAAUGGUGAAGCACCACAUCAGGGGAAGCUGUUUGCAAGACAAUUUAGACAGAAUUAAAGACUUCCAUCAUGAGGGCUACGCUGAGGCCAUUCGGGGGGACAGGGGCGGCAUUUUACGGGAGAGUCUAGUUACCAUGUGCGACCCCAGAAGACACACUCCGAUGAACACACCAGCCCAGGACCCUGACACCACGGCUCUGUGAACCUGAAAAGCUCACAAAGGAAGCAGUCGGUCCAGUUGGAGGAUUCACACGUUAUGACACGCAGAUCAUUCUUCUGGGAGGAUUUUGUUCCAAUCCUUCUGGAGGAGGAGAUGACAAUACUUGAUAGUUCUUACUACGCACCAGGUUGCAAAGAGUUGGACAUGACUGAGUAGCUGAACAACAACAAGAGAUGUAUAGCAGCUACCCUGGUUUAGCAGUGCUCAAUGAAAAUACACGUGAGGGUUUCACAUUUGUGUUGUCCCCAGUUACCAAGGUUUCAUGUCUACGCUGUCUCCAGUUACCCAGGACACUGC
Long non-coding RNA from Bubalus bubalis (water buffalo), 539 nucleotides. RefSeq lists it as uncharacterized. The transcript has 3 exons. The record is from RefSeq and is a predicted model, not a curated record. NCBI's taxonomy places the organism in Eukaryota, Metazoa, Chordata, Mammalia, Artiodactyla, Bovidae.